GACGAACGCUGGCGGCGUGCGUAACACAUGCAAGUCGAACGGUGAGGCUCCACUUUGCUGGGGUGGAUGAGUGGCGAACGGGUGAGUAACACGUGAGCAACCUGCCCCAGACUCUGGAAUAAGCGCUGGAAACGGCGGCUAAUACUGGAUACGAAACUGGGCCGCAUGGGGAUGGUUGGAAAAGUUCUUCGGUUGGGGAUGGGCUCGCGGCCUAUCAGCUUGUUGGUGGGGUAGUGGCUCACCAAGGCGUCGACGGGUAGCCGGCCUGAGAGGGCGACCGGCCACACUGGGACUGAGAUACGGCCCAGACUCCUACGGGAGGCAGCAGUGGGGAAUAUUGCACAAUGGGCGAAAGCCUGAUGCAGCGACGCCGCGUGCGGGAUGACGGCCUUCGGGUUGUAAACCGCUUUCAGCUGGGACGAAGCGAGAGUGACGGUACCUGCAGAAGAAGCACCGGCUAACUACGUG
Molecule: ribosomal RNA, 468 nt
Filed under: uncultured bacterium
Lineage: Bacteria
Description: partial 16S ribosomal RNA
Rfam family: Bacterial small subunit ribosomal RNA
Source: RNAcentral